Helianthus annuus (common sunflower) is the source of this 316-nucleotide long non-coding RNA. RefSeq lists it as uncharacterized. Lineage: Eukaryota; Viridiplantae; Streptophyta; Magnoliopsida; Asterales; Asteraceae. The transcript has 4 exons. The record is from RefSeq and is a predicted model, not a curated record.
UUUCACAUAUAGGUACCUCAGGUGCUUUUAUUCGCUUGAGUAAAUUGGUGUCAAUGAACGGGGCUUCGGUGCUUCUAUUCGUCUGAUAAACAGUUUAUAUUUGCUUAUGCUGACUUAGAGGACAAAGCAGUCACAAGUAACUUAAUUGAUAAUCAGUCAGUUAGCGGGUUGGACCAAGUGGAACAUAUGUCUCAGCAGAAACCAAACUCUGUUGAUCAAACUCUGUUGAAUCUGAUAGCCAGAAAGAUGACGUAGAUAGUGCUCCAAAUUCUGGUCAGUUUUCUCCUCGGAAGUCGUACCGGGCUGCUGUUUUAAA